ACCCUCUCAGGUUUGCACCUGGAGAGUUUCCAGUACUCUACCAGUCUGAACUAUGGGAGGAAGAAUCAAGCAGAGGCAUACCCAUUCCAUUCCUAGCUUGGCCAGUGGCUAGCGAGUGGAAGGCAAUCUGCUACAGGU
RNAcentral lists this small nucleolar RNA (138 nucleotides) under Ornithorhynchus anatinus (platypus). Lineage: Eukaryota; Metazoa; Chordata; Mammalia; Monotremata; Ornithorhynchidae. The record is from RNAcentral.